Molecule: ribosomal RNA, 433 nt
Filed under: uncultured bacterium
Lineage: Bacteria
Description: partial 16S ribosomal RNA
Rfam family: Bacterial small subunit ribosomal RNA
Source: RNAcentral
AACGAACGCUGGCGGCAUGCCUAACACAUGCAAGUCGAACGAGACCUUCGGGUCUAGUGGCGCACGGGUGCGUAACGCGUGGGAACCUGCCCUUAGGUUCGGAAUAACUCCCCGAAAGGGGUGCUAAUACCGGAUAAUGUCUUCGGACCAAAGAUUUAUCGCCUUUGGAUGGGCCCGCGUUGGAUUAGCUAGUUGGUAGGGUAAAAGCCUACCAAGGCGACGAUCCAUAGCUGGUCUGAGAGGAUGAUCAGCCACACUGGGACUGAGACACGGCCCAGACUCCUACGGGAGGCAGCAGUGGGGAAUACUGGACAAGGGGCGAAAGCCUGACACAGCAAUGCCGCGGGAGUGAUGAAGGCCUUAGGGUUGUAAAGCUCUUUUACCCGGGAUGAUAAUGACAGUACCGGGAGAAUAAGCUCCGGCUAACUCCGUG